This 533-nucleotide long non-coding RNA is filed under the name Vulpes vulpes (red fox). RNAcentral's name for it is "lncRNA (ENSVVUG00000001971.1)". Lineage: Eukaryota; Metazoa; Chordata; Mammalia; Carnivora; Canidae. The record is from RNAcentral.
CCCAUGUUCUUUCAUUGUACUUAGAAAUAAUCACAACAAAUCUUGAGAGGAAAAACAUAUCAUUCUAAUUUCUAUAAAUACAGGCACUGAAUCUUAAAAGUUCUGCAAAUUGCCUAAGAACACACCAUGAACUGUGGGAGCUAGGUUCCUUCUGAUGAUAAAUUCCAAAGCUGUCUACACCUACCAUGGUUAUGCACGUGGGCUCCAGAAUGAGCAGACUUUCCUUCACAUCCCAGCUCUGCCAUUUUCCAGCAUCAUCUUCAACUGUACCAGUGGCAAUGGGUAAAUUAAUGAUCUGAGGAAGUCUGUGGAAGAAAAGCAAGUACCAGUUACCAAAAGCUAUGAAUGAGUUUUACCAAAAAUUGGUGCAGGACUAACCAUCACUGACACAAGUCUGGGAUCAUGGUGGGGAAACUGAGGCCUGGAAAGGUCAUCCAGCCUCAAGGGCCAGACUUAAGAUUUAAACCUGCAAUUUUAACCAGCAUGUUCCAUUGGCCUGGAAUUUAUCCUUCUCAGAUGCAGUCAUUCUUCAA